AUUUCUUGGGCCGCUCUAGUGGCAUAUGGAGGUUCUCAGGCUAGGGGUAUAAUUCGAGCUAUAGCCGCCGGCCUACGCCAGAGCCACAGCAAUGCAGGAUCCAAGCCGCGUAUGCGACCAACACCACAGCUCACAGCAACGCCACUGAGCAAGGGCAGGGAUCGAACCCGCAACCUCAUGGUUCCUAGUCAGAUUAGCUAACCAUUGCGCCACAACGGAACUCCACCUUUCCCUUUUUCAGAAUUCAUAUAAUGGAAUCAGACAUUAUGGUGUCUGCUGUGUCUAGUUGCUUUCACUUAGCAUAAUGCCUCUGUGAUUCAUCCAUGUUAUCGGUAGUUUAUAUCAUUUAUCAGUAGCUCAUUCAGUUUUAUUGCUAAGUCCAUUGUAUGGGUAUGAUAUAUAUUACAAAAUCAUCAUAAAACUACUUCUAGUUUUUUUGGCUAUAAUGAAUUAAUCUUCUAUGAAUAUUCAUGCACUGGCCCUUAUGUAUAUAUAGCUACAUUUCUCUUGAGUAAAAUACCUAGGAGUGGGAUUGCUGCAUGUAUGGAAAGAGUGUGUUUAACUUUUUAAAAAAAUGUGAACUGACAGUUCCAGUUGAACUACAUUCUUGCUGAUACUCGGUAUUAUCAGUCUUUUUAAUUUUAGCCAUUUCAGUGGUGAUUUAAUAAUAUCUCACUGGGUUUUAUUUUGUAUUAUGUCUCAUGCAUAUUUUUUCCUUGAUAAAACAUCUAUUCAAACUUUCCAUUUAAGGAAACCAGGUUGCUUAUCUUAUUGUUAUGGAGUUGUAAGAGUCUUUAUAUAUCCUAGACAUAAGACUUUUAUUAUAUAUGCCUUGAAAGUAUUUUUUUCCCCAGCCUUGGACAUGUUUUUUCAUUUUCUUAACAUCAGCUUACUCAGCCGUGAUCUUUGUUAGGUCUUCAGUUUUCACCAGACUAUGACCUUUGCAGAGAAGUUUUAUUUCUGCCUUAGGUUUUUCAUCUUUAGCUAAACCCAAUUCUUACAACAUUUUACAUGUCUCUAUAAGCUUCUUUUGUUUGUAGAAGAUGAGGAAUAAGCAGAAUUAAAAACAUGAAGAGAAGAAUUGGAAUAAAGUCAGAUGUGGACAAUUUGAGGAGAAUAUGGCAAAAAAGGGUAAAUUGUGUUGAUUAUUCUACCGUGUCUUUUAAAUUUCCUGUCUCAAAGUUAAAAGAACUUCCAUUUUAAAAAAUUUUAUAUCUUCUCGUAUGGAAAAUUUAUUUGUAGGUUUUUUUGUUUUUUUGUUUUUUAAGGGCUGCACCCUCAGCAUAUGGAAGUUCCCUGGCUAGGAGUUGAAUGGGAGCUGCAGCUGCAGGCCUAUACCACAGCCACAGCCACAGCCACAGCCACGCCAGGUCUGAGCCACAUGUGCAACCUACUACACUGUAGCUUGCAGCAACACUGGAUCCUUAACUCACUGAGUGAGGCCAGGGAUCAAACACACAUCCUCAUGGACGCUAUGUAUGGUUCUUAACCCACUGAGCCUCAGUGGGAACUCCUUGGAGUUUUUUGUUUGUUUUUCCAUAAUUACUGAGCUUAAUUUCAAUUAGCAAUAUUAUAAACUUGAUUAUCUAGUCUCUGGUAAGCUAAUGGACUUACUAAUUUAUACAUCUGGUUCCUAGCUUCUAAUAUGGCCCUGAAAUCCCCACUCCUGGUAUUCAUGCCUUUAUCAUCUCCUCAAUUCUUUAGAGUAUGGCUGGAUUUACUGAUUUGCUUCUAAUAGAAUAUGAUAGAAGUGAUGGGAUAUCAAUUCCAAAAUUGUUUUUAGGAAGACUUUGGUUUCUGCUUGGGUGUUCUUUAGCAUGAUGGCUAGCUCUGCAGAAGCAGUGGCCAUGCUAUGAGGCAGCCUGUGGAGAGGCCCAUGUGAGCAAGCUUGGGAGGAGAUUUUUGAAUCCAGCCAAUAGCUAUGUGAAAGAACAUGAAGUAUAUCCUCCAUCAGUCAAGCCUUAUGAAGACCAUGGCCUUGACUUACAACUUGACUGUAGCCUAAGAGGCCCUGAGUCAGAACUUCUAAGCUGAUCCUGGAUUCCAAAACAACAGAAAUUAUAACACGUUUAUUUUAAGCUGCUAAGUUACAGCAACAAUAGAUAAGUAAUACAUGUUAUAUCCCAAAGAGCAGUGAAUAACACAUUUAAAUCUGCCCUCAUUCUGUCAAUUUUGUUGGCUUCAUCUAAUGACUGGGAAAGAAAUGAAUACAAACUUUGAAAUAUAAGUAGGUCUGUUUCUGCAUUAUAAGAAAAAUGUUUUAUAGAUUUUCACCAUUUUUCCCCCUUUUUAGGGCCAUACCAAGCUGCAUCUGCAAUCUUUAACACACUGAGCAAGGCCACGGAUCAAACCAACAUUCUCAUGGAUACUAUUGGGGUUCUUAACCCACUGAGCUGCAAUGGCAACUCUAAAUUUUCACCAAGUUUUUUUUUUUUAACUCAAUGAAUUUUAGUAUACUUAUAGUUGUACAACCAUCAUCACAACCCAAUUUAAUUACAUUUACAACCCAAAUCCCCAACGCCCCGCCCCCGGGGGUGCUGUCUCCUUUGGUAACCACAAAUUUUUCAAAGUGUGUGAGUCAGUUUCUGUUCUGCAAAUAAGUUCACUGUAUCCUUUUAAAAUUUAUUUAUUUUGCUAUUUUAGGGCCACGCCCGAGGCAUAUGGAGGUGUCCAGGCUAGGGGUCGAAUUGGAGCUAUAGCCACUGCCUACACCACAGCACAGCAAUGCAGGAUCCAAGCCGAGACUGUGACUUACACAGCUCAUGGCAAUACUGGAUCCUUAACCCACCGAUUGAGGCCAGGGAUCGAAUCCAUGUCCUCAUGGAUCCUAGUAGGGCUUGUUAACUGCUGAGCCACGAAGGAAACUCCCACUGUAUCCUUCUUUUAGAUUCCAUGUACAAGUGACAGCAUAUGACAUUUGUGUCUCA
RNAcentral lists this long non-coding RNA (2927 nucleotides) under Sus scrofa (pig). RNAcentral describes it as "lncRNA (ENSSSCG00050001897.1)". Lineage: Eukaryota; Metazoa; Chordata; Mammalia; Artiodactyla; Suidae. The record is from RNAcentral.